Chiroxiphia lanceolata (lance-tailed manakin) is the source of this 1047-nucleotide long non-coding RNA. RefSeq lists it as uncharacterized. The transcript is spliced from 6 exons. The record is from RefSeq and is a predicted model, not a curated record. Lineage: Eukaryota; Metazoa; Chordata; Aves; Passeriformes; Pipridae.
GGGAAGGGCAGGGAGACCCCAGGAGCAUAGCUUCUCUCAGGAUGAGGGAUGGGGGCACCCUGGUGUGCUGAAUCUCCAAAAGGGAGCAACUCUGGAUCAAAUAUCCCAUUUGCGUUGCUGACACUUAGAGAAUAAACGGUGGUUAGCAUAAAAACCUGGCAAAGACCCUUGUGCUGUGACAGAGCUCUGCAUCGUGUAGCACCAGGCACCCUGUUUCCUGGAGAGACCUGAGCUCCACUGUCACAAUGGAGACAACACUUCAGGCUCCAUUCUUGGAGCAGGAGGGCUGCUAGGAUAUAAAUUUUUUCUCUUUGCCUACAAAACAGGUAGGAGGAAAUUGGUCUGAUCUAGCAGCAGGAGCUGGUACUUUCUCGAGCUGAACAGCUCAGUGUGUGUGGAAGGGGGUCAGACAGACUUGUUUCACUGACUGAUGGACUCCCACAGCAAAGGUUGAAGCUGUGAGAUAAGUGCAUGCUGCUCUUCUCCUGUGAAAUGAGUUGCUGAACUCAAAGUCUGGGAAGACUUCUAACAGCGCAUAGAUCGUCUUGAAGACUGAAAAUUCGAGAAAACUUACCCUCAUGAAAAAAAAAAAAGGUCCAGAUCUUUAGCAGACUUGGAAGAAAGAAGGGUUUGUUCAGAUGUUUGAACUGUCUGCUGCUGCUGCCUAGUGCUCAGAACAUCACAGUUGAUCCCCUGGCAUCACAAAAGCAUCAACUAGGAGCCCAGUCACCACAGUUUGCUACUGAGUGCCAGGACACUAUAUUUGCUCUGGUGACUAUUCCUCCCAGUGCAGUCGCGUAUCACUGCUACCCUGUCUGUCCAGGAAGCAGAAAAGUGAAACUCGUGCUUGGCACUUCCAUAGGGAUCUCUGAGUGCUAGGAGACAAAGAUGAAAACCAGCUGAUAGGAUACAGGCAACCAUUACAGAGGAAAUACUGGAUGUCAGAAGAGGAACAGGAAGCAAUGCCAAGGUCCAGAACACCUUUGGGUGCUGCAACCACCUGAAACCUCCUGAAAUCACUCACCACCACUCAAACCACUUUUAAUA